GAUGAAGAACGUAGCGAAAUGCGAUAAGUAAUGUGAAUUGCAGAAUUCAGUGAAUCAUCGAAUCUUUGAACGCACAUUGCGCCCGCUGGUAUUCUAGCGGGCAUGCCUGUUCGAGCGUCAUUACAACCCUCAGGCCCCCGGGCCUGGCGUUGGGGAUCGGCGGAAGCCCCCUGCGGGCACAACGCCGUCCCCCAAAUACAGUGGCGGUCCCGCCGCAGCUUCCAUUGCGUAGUAGCUAACACCUCGCAACUGGAGAGCGGCGCGGCCACGCCGUAAAACACCCAACUUCUGAAUGUUGACCUCGAAUCAGGUAGGAAUACCCGCUGAACUUAAGCAUAUCAAUAAGCGGAGGA
Molecule: unclassified non-coding RNA, 353 nt
Filed under: soil metagenome
Description: partial contains 5.8S ribosomal RNA, internal transcribed spacer 2, and large subunit ribosomal RNA
Rfam family: 5.8S ribosomal RNA (bases 1-120)
Source: RNAcentral